UAAGAGCGACGGGCGAUGUGUACAUAUUUUAGAGCUAAAAUCAAAUUGUUAAUCUCUACAAUUUUACUAUCAAAUCCAAUUUCAUUAACUUUUUCAUAAUUAAAUCCACAUAAAUAUAUUUUAUUGUAAUUCAUUUUCACUUAAAGAUAAACUACACCUUGAUUUGAUAUUAAUUUUAAUAUAAAUUACAGAAAAUUAUUAAUUCUUAUAAAAUAUUCUAAUAACAACGAUAUAUAAAUUGAUUCACAACUUUAAGUAAGGUACAUCGCGGAUUAUCGAUUAAGAAACAAAUUCCUCUGAAUAGACUAAAACACCGCCAAAUUUUUUAAGUUUCAAGAACAUAACUACUACUACUCAAAUAAAUUAAUUUACAUUUCAAAUAAUAGGGUAUCUAAUCCUAGUUUA
This 405-nucleotide ribosomal RNA is filed under the name Orthoprosopa grisea. Its description in RNAcentral is "partial 12S ribosomal RNA". Lineage: Eukaryota; Metazoa; Arthropoda; Insecta; Diptera; Syrphidae. The record is from RNAcentral.